GAGUGAAUAGGCAAUUUAGUCCCUGAGAUUGUAACCACUUUGCAUAUUAGUCCCUGACUUAAAUUUUAAUUCAUAAUAGUCCCUAACUUUACAUAAGUUUUGCAAAAUAGUCCCUGUCGUUAAUUUCUCAGGUGACGGCGUUAGUGAGGUGUAUAGGUGGCAAUUCAGUGCCACGUAGAUUGUCCAACGUGGCACUGAGGUCUGCAUCUAUAAAUUCUCUCUCACAUGCAAGGUUGCUUCUUCUUCCCCAAAAAAAUUAGGGUUUACGAAGCUGCUGGAUGCUUCUUCUUCUUCUUCUUCUUCCCACGCUGAGUUGCUUCUUCUUCUUCUACUGUGAGGCUCAGUCCCUGCUGCUUGUUCACUUGAUUUGUCCAUGUCUGCAAGUGGCAGUUGUUGUGCAUUUUCUGGUAGUUUCAUUCGGCAAUGCCACCAUGGAAGACGUGCAGCUAUUCGAACUGCAAGAACAAGGAGAAACCCAGGAAGGUUAUUCUAUACUUGUGCAUUACCCCAAACAGACCCAGAUAACUGUCAAUUUUUUCAAUGGGUUGAAGAAGAAAACCAACUUUCUAAUUCGUCUUCUGUCUCAAGAGAAACAAUGGUAGUGGCUGAUUUGAGGCUACAAAUUGAAGCUUUGCAGAAGAAAAUGAGAAAUUUAACAAACAUUGUGUUGUUAGGUUUUUCAUUUUUAAUUGUAAUGUUAGUUUUAGGGGGAAUGUACUUUAGGUAAAAUGUGUAAUAGCAGCUUUUGAUAUUGUAAUUGUUGUUUUGCUGAAGAAUUUGUAGUAGGAAGUAGCUUUUGUAGUGUAAUAGCAGCUUUUGUUGCUACUGUCAAUUGUUGUUUUGCUGAAGAAUUUGUAAUAGGAAGUAGCUUUUGUAGUGUAAUAGCAGCUUUUGUUGCUACUGUCAAUUAUCCAUUUCAAUUAAAUAUAAUUUGUUGGUGAAAUUUGUUGCUGAAAUUUGCAGUUUAUUAAAUAUAAUUUAAUAAAAGAAAGAGAAUUAGGUAAUAAGAAGCAACUCAUAAUGUAUGUUGGGAUGGAUUGUACUACUCCAACUCCAAAUCC
This 1061-nucleotide long non-coding RNA is filed under the name Glycine max (soybean). RNAcentral's name for it is "long non-coding RNA (GMAX_LNC000113)". Lineage: Eukaryota; Viridiplantae; Streptophyta; Magnoliopsida; Fabales; Fabaceae. The record is from RNAcentral.